This 543-nucleotide long non-coding RNA is filed under the name Pogona vitticeps (central bearded dragon). Its description in RNAcentral is "lncRNA (ENSPVIG00000010218.1)". The record is from RNAcentral. Lineage: Eukaryota; Metazoa; Chordata; Lepidosauria; Squamata; Agamidae.
AUGGUUCUGGAAUGGAACAUAGUUUCAUUUUUCCCUCUUCCCCAUCCACAAUUUCCAACCAACUCCAAAGAGAAUAAACCAAGGACGUCAUAUAAGGUGAAUUUCCUGCCCAGCCCUCCCAGCGACCCCGGAUUGAAACCCUGCGACUCUGCUGUCAGCCUGUCCAGCCUCAGCAUCUCCCUUUUCCCCCGAACGCUUGGCGGUGACGGUGGCAGCCUCUUCGAGUGGUUUGUUCAUGGACUGGAGAAAGUCAUGCCACAACCUGUGACCCCAACAAAGCAGGCCCGGAUGACUACACAAGCUACGGACAUGGGCCCCGGACAAGAAAGGUGCAAAGGGGCUUAAGUAUCUCUGAGACAAAGAGACAUUGAAGACCUUGGUGGCCUCUUUUUACAAACCCAGUCAUCCUACACUGAGGGUGCAUGUCUAAACAGGAAGAAAAGGAUUUGCACUUUUGUUUGGUUUAUUGAUUGAUUGAUUGCCAGAGGAAAGGGGGAAGGUUGAUGAAAUAAAGCUGCAUUCCAAACCUGAGAUGAGAAGAGU